UUAUUUGAGAGUUUGAUCCUGGCUCAGGAUGAACGCUGGCGGCGUGCCUAACACAUGCAAGUUGAGCGAUUUACUUCGGUAAAGAGCGGCGGACGGGUGAGUAACGCGGUAACCUACCCUGUACACACGGAUAACAUACCGAAAGGUAUGCUAAUACGGGAUAAUAUAUUUGAGAGGCAUCUCUUAAAUAUCAAAGGUGAGCCAGUACAGGAUGGACCCGCGUCUGAUUAGCUAGUUGGUAAGGUAACUUACCAAGGCAACGAUCAGUAGCCGACCUGAGAGGGUGAUCGGCCACAUUGGAACUGAGACACGGUCCAAACUCCUACGGGAGGCAGCAGUGGGGAAUAUUGCACAAUGGGCGAAAGCCUGAUGCAGCAACGCCGCGUGAGUGAUGAAGGCCUUCGGGUCGUAAAACUCUGUCCUCAAGGAAGAUAAUGACGGUACUUGAGGCCCCGGCUAACUACGUGCCAGCAGCCGCGGUAAUACGUAGGGGCUAGCGUUAUCCGGAUUUACUGGGCGUAAAGGGUGCGUAGGCGGUCUUUCAAGUCAGGAGUGAAAGGCUACGGCUCAACCGUAGUAAGCUCUUGAAACUGGGAGACUUGAGUGCAGGAGAGAGUGGAAUUCCUAGUGUAGCGGUGAAAUGCGUAGAUAUUAGGAGGAACACCAGUUGCGAAGGCGGCUCUCUGGACUGUAACUGACGCUGAGGCACGAAAGCGUGGGGAGCCAGGAUUAGAUACCCUGGUAGUCCACGCUGUAAACGAUGAGUACUAGGUGUCGGGGUUACCCCUUCGGUGCCGCAGCUAACGCAUUAAGUACUCCGCCUGGAAGUACGCUCGCAAGAGUGAAACUCAAAGGAAUUGACGGGGACCCGCACAAGUAGCGGAGCAUGUGGUUUAAUUCGAAGCAACGCGAAGAACCUUACCUAAGCUUGACAUCCCAAUGACAUCUCCUUAAUCGGAGAGUUCCUUCGGGGACAUUGGUGACAGGUGGUGCAUGGUUGUCGUCAGCUCGUGUCGUGAGAUGUUGGGUUAAGUCCCGCAACGAGCGCAACCCUUGUCUUUAGUUGCCAUCAUUAAGUUGGGCACUCUAGAGAGACUGCCAGGGAUAACCUGGAGGAAGGUGGGGAUGACGUCAAAUCAUCAUGCCCCUUAUGCAGGGCUACACACGUGCUACAAUGGGUAGUACAGAGGGUUGCCAAGCCGUAGGUGGAGCUAAUCCCUUAAAGCUACUCUCAGUUCGGAUUGUAGGCUGAAACUCGCCUACAUGAAGCUGGAGUUACUAGUAAUCGCAGAUCAGAAUGCUGCGGUGAAUGCGUUCCCGGUCUUGUACACACCGCCCGUCACACCACGGGUUGGAGACGCCCGAAGCCGAUUAUCUAACCUUUUGGAAGAAGUCGUCGAAGGUGGAAUCAAUAACUGGGGUGAAGUCGUAACAAGGUAGCCGUAUCGGAAGGUGCGGCUGGAUCACCUCCUUU
This 1474-nucleotide ribosomal RNA is filed under the name Clostridioides difficile. RNAcentral's name for it is "bacterial SSU rRNA". It matches the Rfam family "Bacterial small subunit ribosomal RNA". The record is from RNAcentral. Lineage: Bacteria; Bacillati; Bacillota; Clostridia; Peptostreptococcales; Peptostreptococcaceae.